UGGCGUAGACAAGAAGUUGCCAAACCCGCGAGGGCGAACUAAUCUCUUAAGUCCCUCUCAGUUCGGAUUGCGGCUGCAACUCGCCUGUUGCAGUCGGAAUCGCUAGUAAUCGCGGAUCAGCACGCCGCGGUGAAUACGUUCCCGGGCCUUGUACACACCGCCCGUCACACCAUGAGAGUUUGUAACACCCCAAGCCGGUGGGGUAACCUUUAGGAG
Molecule: ribosomal RNA, 216 nt
Filed under: uncultured bacterium
Lineage: Bacteria
Description: partial 16S ribosomal RNA
Rfam family: Bacterial small subunit ribosomal RNA
Source: RNAcentral